This 253-nucleotide ribosomal RNA is filed under the name uncultured bacterium. RNAcentral's name for it is "partial 16S ribosomal RNA". It matches the Rfam family "Bacterial small subunit ribosomal RNA", at positions 524 to 776 of the family's 1533-position model. The record is from RNAcentral.
UACGUAGGGCGCAAGCGUUGUCCGGAAUUAUUGGGCGUAAAGAGCUCGUAGGCGGCUUGUCACGUCGGAUGUGAAAGCCCGGGGCUUAACCCCGGGUCUGCAUUCGAUACGGGCAGGCUAGAGUUCGGUAGGGGAGAUCGGAAUUCCUGGUGUAGCGGUGAAAUGCGCAGAUAUCAGGAGGAACACCGGUGGCGAAGGCGGAUCUCUGGGCCGAUACUGACGCUGAGGAGCGAAAGCGUGGGGAGCAAACAGG